Sapajus apella (tufted capuchin) is the source of this 1162-nucleotide long non-coding RNA. RefSeq lists it as uncharacterized. The record is from RefSeq and is a predicted model, not a curated record. Lineage: Eukaryota; Metazoa; Chordata; Mammalia; Primates; Cebidae. The transcript is spliced from 2 exons.
UGAGCCCAGGGGGUAGAGGCUGCCGUGAGCUGCGAUCACUCCACUGCACUCCAGGUGACAGAGUGAGACCCUGUCUCACACAAAGCCAAUUCAUUUGAGCUGAGGCUUGACUGUACUUUUAAUUGCCCACAUAGAAAAGAGGAAAAAUAAUGCUUUUCAUCUUUUAAAAUAUUCCAUUUACCUUUUAGUAAGACAAAUUCUUAUCUUUAUGUAAAACUGUGAAAGAACAGUUACAUAGAUUAUUGCAGCUUAGAUUAUUUUCAACAAGUUUAAAUUCCACACGUAAGGAUACAUACCAUUUUUACCAGCUAUACUUUAAAAUGUCAGUCUUUAAAAAUUCUUCUAUGUGUAUAUGUGGUUUCUUCUUCUUUUCAAAAAUUCAUGCCUGUGAAGUUUUUAGGAAUAUUUUUCAAAACUUCAGUACUGAAGCAUUAACUUUUUAUGUGAUAUAGCACCUUUAAAUUUGUGUUUUUAUUCACACAAGAGCAUUAUUGUACAUUUAAUCAUUUCUUUUGCUAGUAUUUAUAAUCUCAGCGAAUAGGAUAGCAGCAUAGUACCUAAAUUAAACUAUUAGGAAUAACUGGAUGCCUACCACAGCAACAGAACUUUAAUGAGGUUAAUUAUUACACACAUAUCCAUUCCAACACAGCAGUGCAUAUUUUACAUGACCAGCCCCUUAUGUAGUUAAAAAUAAAACUGCAGUUUUAAAAUGUCAAGUUCCUCAACCUUACUGGAUUUUAAAACAAAACAAACAAGAGAAACAAGGAUUUUCUAAUCUAUCUACAAGCAGAAAUGCCAGAAAAUAAAGCUGCAGUAUUCCAUAGAGCUCAAAUUUCCUUUUCUAAGUCAUGACAUUUCUCUUUCAUUCUCUCUGUUUUCUUUUUCUUCUAAGAUAAGAAAAUGUAAAACAUAAAUGAAAAGAUAAAAACUGCUUAAUAUGGCAAGGAACAAGAAUGAAACUAGAUUUUUUUUUUUUUAGUAAAGAGGCAAAUUUUAUACAACCGUAAAAAUUAAAAAUGAAAAACAAUAAUAGAAAUAGCAUAAUGCUACAGACUAUCCCAGUUUCCUGGGCUCUGAAGAAGAGCUGCUAUACUAAAUACUAACUUUAUUUAUCUGAAGUAUUCAAUACCUUCUGAUAACCCAAGCAGCAUUAUAUUAAUAG